UUAGGUGGCUAUAGCGGUGGGGUUCCACCUCUUCCCAUUCCGAACAGAGAAGUUAAGCUCACCAGCGCCGAUGGUACUGCAUUAUUUGUGGGAGAGUAGGUCGCCGCCGACU
Molecule: ribosomal RNA, 112 nt
Filed under: Bacteroidetes bacterium GWF2_49_14
Lineage: Bacteria; Pseudomonadati; Bacteroidota
Source: RNAcentral